GCCCGGGUGGCGGAACUGGUAGACGCAAGAGACUUAAAAUCUCUCGAAGUUGAUCUUCGUGUCGGUUCGACUCCGACCCCGGGCACCA
RNAcentral lists this transfer RNA (88 nucleotides) under bacterium BMS3Abin13. RNAcentral's name for it is "tRNA-Leu". It matches the Rfam family "tRNA". Rfam says of the family: Transfer RNA (tRNA) molecules are approximately 80 nucleotides in length. Their secondary structure includes four short double-helical elements and three loops (D, anti-codon, and T loops). The record is from RNAcentral. RNAcentral also lists the same sequence under 5 other names.